Molecule: small RNA, 579 nt
Filed under: Pongo abelii (Sumatran orangutan)
Lineage: Eukaryota; Metazoa; Chordata; Mammalia; Primates; Hominidae
Description: processed transcript
Source: RNAcentral
GAUUUGAUCGAGGAGCGCGGUUACCGGACGGGCUGGGUCUAUGGUCGCUCCGCGGGCCGCUCCGCCGGCUGGUGCUUUUUUAUCAGGGCAAGCUGUGUUCCAUGGCAGGGAACUUUUGGCAGAGCUCCCACUAUUUGCAAUGGAUUUUGGAUAAACAAGAUCUGUUGAAGGAGCGCCAAAAGGAUUUAAAGUUUCUCUCAGAGGAAGAAUAUUGGAAGUUACAAAUAUUUUUUACAAAUGUUAUCCAAGCAUUAGGUGAACAUCUUAAAUUAAGACAACAAGUUAUUGCCACUGCUACGGUAUAUUUCAAGAGAUUCUAUGCCAGGUAUUCUCUGAAAAGUAUAGAUCCUGUAUUAAUGGCUCCUACAUGUGUGUUUUUGGCAUCCAAAGUAGAGGAAUUUGGAGUAGUUUCAAAUACAAGAUUGAUUGCUGCUGCUACUUCUGUAUUAAAAACUAGAUUUUCAUAUGCCUUUCCAAAGGAAUUUCCUUAUAGGAUGAAUCAUAUAUUAGAAUGUGAAUUCUAUCUUUUAGAACUAAUGGCUAAUAAGAGGUUUCAGUGUGUUGCAGAUGUGACACUUU